CCAGGGCCCUCAUUCUAGAGUCAUGCUACCUGAGUCUGAAUCCUGGGCCUGCCCCUUACUGACUGUGUGAUCUUGGGCAGGAAUUAGCUAGUCCUGUGAGGGCAGUCUCUCAAGGAUCAAGGCCCCAGAUGCCAGAGCAUCAAGAAUAUGGAAAAUCAGAGAACAUGAUCAAUAUACCAGCUCAUCCCUGGAUGAAGCUCCCUGCCUUUCCUCAUACAGACAAAAAAGUGCAAUCCUCAAUUUUCCGGCCUACCUUGUAGCUGGGAGCUAUAAAAUGAAGUUCAUCAGGCAUGAGCGGUCUGCUGGUACUGCUUCUUCCCGCUUCCCCUUCUUCUUGCUUUGGGAUGGGAUGCGAUGUUUGCUGCUGUAACAGCCAUUUGCAGCCAUAAGGAAAAGGCCAAAUGAAUUGCAGUGGUGUCCAUUGAACCAAUUCUGUAUUUUUCUGGACUUCUUGUUUUGUGAGAAAAAUAAACUGCUAUUUAAACCACUGUAGUCAGAUUUUCAAUUACUUGCAGCCAAACCCAUUCCUAAUUGAUCUCAUAGGAGAUAUAAGAAAAG
This 558-nucleotide long non-coding RNA is filed under the name Homo sapiens (human). Its description in RNAcentral is "HSALNT0294615". The record is from RNAcentral. Lineage: Eukaryota; Metazoa; Chordata; Mammalia; Primates; Hominidae.